CAGCAGCUCCAACUCUUUAUAGGCUGCAAUUAAGGCCAGGAAGUUGUACGGGGAAAGUUUAGCAGUUUCUGCAGACUCUGAUGUCACUGCACACCCCUUGGAGAGGCAGACAGCAAAGAGGAGGGGAAGAUACAUGGGAAUGGAAUUAUCUUUCAAGUAACUGGAAGGCUUUUCCUCCUGAACCCAGAGGACAGUCAGUGAAAAUGGACUUUCUGAUAAUGCUGAGUUACAGCAUGGCAGCACCUGUUGGGUUUCAGAGAAAAUGUUCUUGUGGGUUCUGAUUUGCACUCUCAAGCCA
Molecule: long non-coding RNA, 298 nt
Organism: Catharus ustulatus (Swainson's thrush)
Lineage: Eukaryota; Metazoa; Chordata; Aves; Passeriformes; Turdidae
Exons: 3
Source: RefSeq, a predicted model, not a curated record